AUACGUAGGGGGCGAGCGUUGUCCGGAAUUACUGGGCGUAAAGGGUGCGUAGGCGGCCUUGUAAGUCAGGUGUGAAAUACCACGGCUUAACUGUGGUUUUGCACAUGAAACUGUGAGGCUUGAGUAUAGGAGAGGAAAGCGGAAUUCCUAGUGUAGCGGUGAAAUGCGUAGAGAUUAGGAAGAACACCAGUGGCGAAGGCGGCUUUCUGGACUGUAACUGACGCUGAGGCACGAAAGCGUGGGUAGCGAACAGGAUUAGAUACCCUGGUAGUCCACGCUGUAAACGAUGGAUACUAGGUGUAGGGGGGUCAAACCUUCUGUGCCGGAGUUAACGCACUAAGUAUCCCGCCUGGGGAGUACGGCCGCAAGGCUAAA
RNAcentral lists this ribosomal RNA (375 nucleotides) under uncultured bacterium. RNAcentral describes it as "bacterial SSU rRNA". It matches the Rfam family "Bacterial small subunit ribosomal RNA", at positions 523 to 898 of the family's 1533-position model. The record is from RNAcentral.